UGCAAUCAGCUGAAAGUGAAGCGCAGUAACCUACUUGACUUGACUAACGGAGCUAUAGAAUUUAUUUUUGCACCUAAGGCAAGAUCUGCUGGUCGAAACGUUUAAGGCUCGCGAGAAAUACCGCACGCUUUAAAUCAAAAGUGGAGUCAACCCAGGAAACAUCGGGGAAACAUCAGAACUCCAAAUAUCUGCGGUAAAGCCAAUAGCAGUGACAUAUGUUAAAAAGACCACGUAAGUGGUCGCGCACCUUGUAAAGCCUCGGUACAGCCGUGUCUGAAAUAUAGUGUCGAGAUGAUAUGACGUACUGUUGCUCCAAAAGACGACGAAAACGUGUAUUUCUACCACAGAGACAGGCUGUUCAUCCAAUGCGAUGAAUUCAAUGACCUUCUAUGUUACCUUUUUGGCCAGGUCUCCGGAGAAAUUUCCUCUUUUCUUUUUAGUUUCCUCUAGUGUUUUUCUUCGGUGCAGCCUUUGCCUGCCAAACCCGAGUAAACUCGCUGUAUUCCGCCGAGUGUUUAUUUUUUAGGUGGCGUGUCAAAUUGGUAAUAUUGAACCUAGCUGUUACUACUGCCUCGUGAAAUGCUUGCAUUGCAGACAUUACACGUUGGACUUGUUUCAUUCUCCAGUUUAGGCGCGUUCUGUUCUCCGUUUACAACACCCCUAUGAUAGCAAAGGAUCGCAAACAAAGGAUCGAGCUUAGGUUCGAGCUCAAUAAAGCCGAUAAUGAGCAGUUAAAAAUGCCUUGAUCGGCCCCGAUACCGAUCUUUGAAAUCAGAUCGGUAAAUUCAUAGUUUUUGUUAUGCAUCAGCUACACUGUCCAGCUACGUUAGCUAACCUAGCUAAUCAGCUAGUUAAAAGCAGUCAUAGCUCUUGCCAACUUACUGAACUGUGGAAUUAAGUAGAAAAUACAGCAGUGGUUUAUUAACUAGCUAGCUAGCUAACACAAGCUCUGCUUGACAGUUUCAUUGUCGCUUUAUUGCAUAAGAAAUCUUCGUUCACAAAAUUAUGUGAUGCGCUUUGCGUAUUGGAUAGAAAACAUUGCGGUGUGUAACUUAAAUCUGUUUUAAUGUAGUGUAAGAGAGAUCCGUUUUCAUAGGUAUACAGUGUAUGCUGCAUGUGUAACUGCUGUUUAUUUUUCCCCCAAACGCAUUUAUAAUUGUGUUUAUUUACUUUUCUAGACGUUGUUCCCGCGUUUUAGUCAGAAUGGCCAGCGCCGUCCCUCAGACAUGGUGAAUUCUCUGAGUUUCCUCCCAAACCUUUUCACUACGUCCACAGCAUCCAUACAUCCACAGCAGGGAUGUCAGUAGUGACCGAAGUCCAUGGGGGGUUGGUAACCAAGGAAACACUCAAAUGGCGUAAUGCCCGUGGAGGAACUCGGGAGAGAGUUCUGGGCCAUCUCUGCCCAAGGAAGGAACUUGGACCAGUCAGUGGGGUUGUUCAUACAAAAACAAUGCAGAAACUUACUUUAGUUCUUGGUUAGCACGUUCGCAUUGUCCGUUGGACUGAGGGUGAUGACCUGAGGGCAGACUGACUGCCACCCCUAUAUUUUCAAAAAAAGACUGUCCAAACACAGGAUGUGAACUGAGAACCAUGGUCUGACAGAAUGUCCUCAGGUAUACCAAAUAUGUGGAAAACUUGGUUGAAUAAGACCUCACCGGUUUGGAAGGCGGUGGGUAGACCAGGAAAGGCUAUGAACCUUACACCACAAGAGAACCUGUUUAGUACUGUCAGGAUAGUGGUAUCGCCGUCAGAGCAAGGUAGGUCAGUGACGAAGUCCACCGCUAUGUGGGACCAGGGUCUUUCGGGUAUGGAGAGAGGCAUGAGUUUACCAGUAGGCAGUAUCCUAGGGGGUGAGUAAGGGAUGAGUGAGCCCAAGUUAACAGCCAAUCGGCAUGAUGCCGGUACAGACCUCCUUUUGCAGGACAUUCAGUAGGGAUGAUGAUGCUUCUUGUAGCUUGUUCGAUCUGGUUGUCUAUCUCCCAUUGGAUCGAAGCCAGAUGUACCCAUAAAGGAAGAAUGGUCUCUGGAUCAGUAGGCUCCUCCUCUGUCUCCCCUAGGUGGAUACGGGACAGGGCAUCUACUUUCGUGUUAUGGGACCCUGGAGGGUAUGUAAUCUUGAAGCAAAAUCUCGAAAAGAAUAAUGACCAGCGGGCUUGACGCGGAGUCAUCCGUUUCACCGUGCACAUGUACUCUAGAUUUUUGUGGUCGGUGAUCACUAGGAAUGGAUGAUUAGCUCCCUCCAACCAGUGUCUCCAGUCCUCCAAUGCCAGCUUCAUAGCCAGUAGCUUUUGUUCCCCUAUCCCAUAGUUGCAUUCCACCAGGGUCAAUUUGUGGGGAAAAAUAUGCUACGAGGUGCAUUUUUGAUGCCUCAUACCAUUGUGACAAUACCGUCCCAACACCUAUAUUCGAGGCAUCUACUUCAACCACGAACAGGAUGCUUCAGUAAAGGGACGGUGGUAAAAGCCUCCUUUAACUGUUUGAACAUAUGUUCAAGUUUCUUGGCUCCAGUGUAGCUUAGUUGAGGCUCCCUUAAGGAGGGAUGUGAGAGGAGCUGCUAUAAUCACUGAAAUAUCGAAUAAAACAUCUAUAAAAGUUCGCAAAGCCGAGAAAGCUCUGAAGUUUCCUGAUAGUGGUGGGAACGGGCCAGUUGAGGUCGUCCAUGGCGAACCAGCCAUGGCUGAAGAUGUAACCCAAGAAUGUCGUAGUAGAGAGAUGAAAUUCACACUUCUCUCCAUUAACAUAUAAACCAUUCUCUAGGAAUUUCCAUAAAACAGAACAUACAUGUUGUACGUGGGUCUUCAGAUUAGGUGAAUAGAUGAUGUUGUCGAUGUAUGCUAUAACAUAUUGUCCUAUGUAAUCCCGAAGUACAUCGUUGAUAAAAGCUUAAAAACAGAAGGUGCUAUGCUGAGGCCAUAAGGCAUGACCAUUCGGUGGUCAUCUGCAUGCCAAAAGAAUUAUCUCUUUCUGUGACCACAAGAUACUAGGGUUACGUUGUUCUAACCAUGGGAGGCCAAGCAUUAUGGGAAAGGAUGAGGCUUCUAUAACCAAAAAGGAUAUGAUCUCAGUGUGAAGUGCACUGGUGGAGAGUUUGAUGGGUGUGGUGCAGAGAGCGAUAGAACCUGCCCCUAAUGGGGACCCAUCUAAAGUGGCCAGGUGAAGGGUUUUAGGUAGAGGCUCGACCGGAAUGUCCAAGUUCCAAACUAGACUGUUAUGAAUUAAAUUGCCCUCUGCUCCUGAAUCUAUUAAGGCUGUAAACAAAGAUGAUGGGGAGUGUGAACCAACAAAAACAGGUAAAUUGAAGGAUUUAGCAACCAUCCCUUUAAUGGAAAGGACUACUACGUGGGCUAGUGGCUUGGUCUCCAGAUCUCUCCUCUGUGCUGGGGAAGCGAACCGGUUAGAGUCUGAUAGUGCACUCUCUCAGUACAUGUAAAUGGAAGUGGCAUCUUCUCUCUUCUACCGUCAAACAAGUGAAGUCAAACUGCAUGGGCUCGGCAGGAUUUUCUCUUCUGGGCUCGACUGAUUAAUUCCUCGAGUGGGGAGACUGACGUGAAAAUGACUUGUUCUGCAUGGUCUCAGUUAUUGAAUAAAAUGAUCCAACUGAAUGGCUAGUGCGAUGCGUUGGUCAAGAUUCAGCUCGUCAUCAUGGCAAGCCAGUUUGUGAAGUACUUCCAUGUUAAGACCGUUACGAAACGCGAAAGCAGAGCUGUUUCAUUCUGUCUGCUACCAGCAGCUAUAGUGCAAAACUCGCAAGCAUAGUCUGAAACCGCACGAUUGCCCUGGCAGAGUUUGCCGAGCCUUGUGUGCAUUCUCUCCUCUCAUGUGGAUGAUCAAAAACAGCUUUAAACUGGGCGAGAGAGUCAUUAUACAACAACGUCUGAGCAGUCCAGAUAGCUGUGACCCAAUCCAGUGCUUUCUCCGUUAGCCGUGCGGUAAGGAAAGAUAUCUUGGCUUAGUCAGAACAGGGUGGAAUGCUAUUAAAAUAAAGGGUGCACUGUAACAAGAAACCCCUACAUUUGUCCGGAGAGCCGUCAAAUUUAUCAGGUUUACUCACUGGAAAAACAGGAUGAGCAAUGUUGCAGUAGCGGUAGCAGCAGCAGGAAGUGAGUUGUGCUGGAGAGACAAUCAUGGCCUGUAGUUGAGUAGUAAGGUCUCUUAGACACUGUCCGAGUUCAGCCAUUUGGGCCUGUUGGUCUAUUUGUUGUUUGGCAAGAACAUCCAGGGACCAUGUGACUCCUUCGAAGACAUGCUGGUGUUGACUGACAAGCUGUCCUUGGCUGAUAACAGCCUCCAUCAGAGCCUCCGAAUCCGCCGUCCGCAUAAUGGCAAAGUCAGAUGCUUGCAGAUAAAAGGCCGGAAUUUUAUCGUAAUCCGUAUCCAUGGUGGUUAAACUAGCCAGGGUCAGAACCAGAGAGAUGCAGUCAAGGGUAAUCACAAUCAUAGAGGAAAACAGUCCAAGUCCAAAAACAGGCAGACAAAGCCAUCAAGGGGUAGGCAGUAAUAGGAGUCCAGAGUAACUGGAAAACCAGGUCAAAAACAGGAGAUCAAAAACAUGAAUAGAACGCUCGGUAUGCACAGAUGAACUGGAGGCAAUACUUCACAAUGACAAACAGUCUUAGAAUGGCUUAUAUAUAUGAAAAAACAGGUGAACUCAACAUGCAGGUGAUGAGGAUCUGGUGAACUGUUGAAGACUGGAUGAGUCAUUCUCCUGGAGAAUAACUGCAUGAUGGUGGUUGGAAACCAGACCAAAUGGACAGGUGUGUCCAGUAUGUAAAGUGGGUAUCUGCGGAGACAAAGUCAUCCCACAUCCCACUGGCUGAGGUAGCACUGGUCAGCAGGACCCCAGGUCAAUUUAAUGCUUUAAAUUCCUAUUCAGAAAUGUGCUCUGUGACACUGUGUGCAUUGUCAAUUAAUCUCACAUGCUGCCAGGUCAAAGGCCAAUAAUAAUUCCUAUUGCAAAAAGCAAACAAAGUAAAUAAAAAGUUAGUAGUUGGUAAAAGCAUGCAUUAACUUUCUUGCUUCUGGAAUUUCAUUUUGUAUUUGUCUUUGUAUUUCUAUUUUGUAUUUAUUAUUGUUUAUUUAAUUACAUUUUUGCACUAUA
Electrophorus electricus (electric eel) is the source of this 5098-nucleotide long non-coding RNA. RefSeq lists it as uncharacterized. The record is from RefSeq and is a predicted model, not a curated record. Lineage: Eukaryota; Metazoa; Chordata; Actinopteri; Gymnotiformes; Gymnotidae.